Molecule: ribosomal RNA, 385 nt
Filed under: Burkholderia sp. 3CB3N1
Lineage: Bacteria; Pseudomonadati; Pseudomonadota; Betaproteobacteria; Burkholderiales; Burkholderiaceae
Description: bacterial SSU rRNA
Rfam family: Bacterial small subunit ribosomal RNA
Source: RNAcentral
GCCGCGUGUGUGAAGAGGCCUUCGGGUUGUAAAGCACUUUUGUCCGGAAAGAAAACUUCGGGGUUAAUACCUCUGGAGGAUGACGGUACCGGAAGAAUAAGCACCGGCUAACUACGUGCCAGCAGCCGCGGUAAUACGUAGGGUGCGAGCGUUAAUCGGAAUUACUGGGCGUAAAGCGUGCGCAGGCGGUCUGUUAAGACAGAUGUGAAAUCCCCGGGCUUAACCUGGGAACUGCAUUUGUGACUGGCAGGCUAGAGUAUGGCAGAGGGGGGUAGAAUUCCACGUGUAGCAGUGAAAUGCGUAGAGAUGUGGAGGAAUACCGAUGGCGAAGGCAGCCCCCUGGGCCAAUACUGACGCUCAUGCACGAAAGCGUGGGGAGCAAACA